This 468-nucleotide ribosomal RNA is filed under the name uncultured bacterium. RNAcentral describes it as "partial 16S ribosomal RNA". It matches the Rfam family "Bacterial small subunit ribosomal RNA", at positions 28 to 507 of the family's 1533-position model. The record is from RNAcentral.
GACGAACGCUGGCGGCGUGCUUAACACAUGCAAGUCGAACGGAAAGGCCCUGCUUUUGUGGGGUGCUCGAGUGGCGAACGGGUGAGUAACACGUGAGUAACCUGCCCUUGGCUUUGGGAUAACUUCAGGAAACUGGGGCUAAUACCGGAUAGGAGCUCCUGCUGCAUGGUGGGGGUUGGAAAGUUUCGGCGGUUGGGGAUGGACUCGCGGCUUAUCAGCUUGUUGGUGGGGUAGUGGCUUACCAAGGCUUUGACGGGUAGCCGGCCUGAGAGGGUGACCGGCCACAUUGGGACUGAGAUACGGCCCAGACUCCUACGGGAGGCAGCAGUGGGGAAUAUUGCACAAUGGGCGGAAGCCUGAUGCAGCAACGCCGCGUGCGGGAUGACGGCCUUCGGGUUGUAAACCGCUUUCGCCUGUGACGAAGCGUGGGUGACGGUAAUGGGUGAAGAAGCACCGGCUAACUACGUG